RNAcentral lists this ribosomal RNA (254 nucleotides) under uncultured bacterium. Its description in RNAcentral is "partial 16S ribosomal RNA". It matches the Rfam family "Bacterial small subunit ribosomal RNA", at positions 524 to 776 of the family's 1533-position model. The record is from RNAcentral.
GACAGAGGGGGCAAACGUUGUUCGGAAUUACUGGGCGUAAAGCGCGUGUAGGCGGCUCGUAAAGUCGGAUGUGAAAGCCCUGGGCUUAACCUAGGAAGUGCAUUCGAAACUGUCGUGGCUUGAGUUCUGGAGAGGAAGGUGGAAUUCUCGGUGUAGAGGUGAAAUUCGUAGAUAUCGAGAGGAACACCGGUGGCGAAGGCGGCCCGCUGGACAGUGACUGACGCUGAGGCGCGAAAGCGUGGGGAGCAAACAGG